UAUGGGACUCGAAGACCAGGAGCCCAGAGGAGGCCCUGGGAAAAUGGUAAGUAAUGUAUGUUCUGACAGGAAAGACCAGGACCCCAUUCUACAGGCCUGGCACAGAGUUAACUUGGACUAAUUGGUGACGAGUUCACCCAACCCUUAUGUGAAUUGUUUGUGUUAUGAUGCAUUCCAUUUGAGCAUAGUGUUAAUGUGUUUUACUAGCUCUACUCACUGGGCUUUUAGCUCACCCCUCUCCCUUUUCCCCCAGGCUUACAGGUACAGGAUAUAGUGCGGGAGUUCGGAUAGAGUGAAGAAGUCAUGCUUAUGUAAUAGAUAGAAAUGGACAUGAUCAAAUUGUAAUGUAAAAGUACAGUAUAGUUAAGUAAUGAGUUGUAUGGAUGUUAGUAUGUGCUUGACCAUAGAUUGUUGUAUCCCUUUUAU
RNAcentral lists this long non-coding RNA (426 nucleotides) under Manihot esculenta (cassava). RNAcentral's name for it is "long non-coding RNA (MESC_LNC012490)". The record is from RNAcentral. Lineage: Eukaryota; Viridiplantae; Streptophyta; Magnoliopsida; Malpighiales; Euphorbiaceae.